CCUACGGGUGGCAGCAGUGAGGAAUAUUGGUCAAUGGACGAGAGUCUGAACCAGCCAAGUAGCGUGAAGGAUGACUGCCCUAUGGGUUGUAAACUUCUUUUAUAUGGGAAUAAAAUGUUCCACGUGUGGGAUUUUGUAUGUACCAUAUGAAUAAGGAUCGGCUAACUCCGUGCCAGCAGCCGCGGUAAUACGGAGGAUCCGAGCGUUAUCCGGAUUUAUUGGGUUUAAAGGGAGCGUAGGUGGGUUGUUAAGUCAGUUGUGAAAGUUUGCGGCUCAACCGUAAAAUUGCAGUUGAAACUGGCAGUCUGGAGUCAAGUAGAGGUGGGCGGAAUUCGUGGUGUAGCGGUGAAAGGCUUAGAUAUCACGAAGAACUCCGAUUGCGAAGGCAGCUCUCUGGUCUGCAACUGACGCUGAGGCUCGAAAGCAUGGGUAGCGAACAGGAUUAGAUACCCCUGUAGUC
RNAcentral lists this ribosomal RNA (460 nucleotides) under uncultured bacterium. RNAcentral describes it as "partial 16S ribosomal RNA". It matches the Rfam family "Bacterial small subunit ribosomal RNA", at positions 338 to 795 of the family's 1533-position model. The record is from RNAcentral.